CAGGGCUCACUGACCACCUAGACCUGCUCUCCUGUGGUACAGAACAAAGAGACCUGGACGAUGGAGAGGGAAGAGACAGUAGCUAAGGAUCCAGGGCCACAAGCCGGCUAUUCAUUGUUCUUCAAAGAGAAAAUCAAAGAAGAAACACGGAAAGAAAUGGCUGAUUCUCCAUUAAUCAUGUCCCAGCGUCUGUUGACAUUUGGGGAUGUGGCUGUUGACUUCCCCCAGGAGGAGUGGGAAUGCCUGGACUCUGCUCAGAGGGCUUUGUAUAUUGAUGUGAUGUUGGAGUGGCAAAUCUUUUACUAAGUGUUCAACUCUUCAAACACAUCAAAAAAUUCAUACUGGAGAGAAACCUUACAAAUGUAGGGAAUGCAACAAAUCCUUUACCCAGGACUCACAUCUUAGAACACAUCAGAGAGUUCAUACUGGAGAGAGACCUUACAUAUGUAAGGAAUGUGGCAAAUCUUUUACUAGGUGUUCAUAUCUUAGAGCACAUCAGAAAAUUCAUACUGGAGAGAAACCGUACAAAUGCAAAGACUGUGACGUAUCCUUUAUGCAGAUUUCAAAUCUGAGAAGACAUCAGAGGGUUCAUACUGGAGAAAAACUAUUGUAACUAUUGUGACAUAGCAUUUAUCUGAUAUUCCUUGCUUACAAAUCACAACAGUAUAAGUAAUAGAAACAUAAAAAU
This 688-nucleotide long non-coding RNA is filed under the name Rattus norvegicus (Norway rat). Its description in RNAcentral is "long non-coding RNA NONRATT000259". Lineage: Eukaryota; Metazoa; Chordata; Mammalia; Rodentia; Muridae. The record is from RNAcentral.